This 74-nucleotide transfer RNA is filed under the name Alloprevotella sp. oral taxon 473 str. F0040. RNAcentral describes it as "Prevotella sp. oral taxon 473 str. F0040 tRNA-Gln". It matches the Rfam family "tRNA". From Rfam's summary of the family: Transfer RNA (tRNA) molecules are approximately 80 nucleotides in length. Their secondary structure includes four short double-helical elements and three loops (D, anti-codon, and T loops). RNAcentral also lists the same sequence under 2 other names. Lineage: Bacteria; Pseudomonadati; Bacteroidota; Bacteroidia; Bacteroidales; Prevotellaceae. The record is from RNAcentral.
UGGGUCAUGGUGUAAUGGUAACACUACAGGUUUUGGUUCUGUCAUUCUGGGUUCGAAUCCCGGUGACCCAACAA